This is a non-coding RNA of Zootermopsis nevadensis, 1509 nucleotides long. NCBI's taxonomy places the organism in Eukaryota, Metazoa, Arthropoda, Insecta, Blattodea, Termopsidae. The record is from RefSeq and is a predicted model, not a curated record.
AAAGUAAAGGUCUCCAUUGUAAAUUCAUGUAGAAUAACGUUAUUUGUAAGACAUAUAGAAGAAGUUAUGAUUAUUUCUAACACAAAUUUGGUUACAGCACUUUGUUAACAGCUCCAGUUUGUGACACUGUAUGCACUGCAGCAAUGUUUCUCAAUGGCAGACCAUGGAUGCUGAUUUCAGAAGGAACUCGACUAACCUCAAGCCUGCACUGAAUAUUCCUGCCACAAAAAGACCUGGGAAACCAACAUAGUCUCCUAGUGAGUCCAUGACAUACAGAGGAAACAGUUGGUCUGGUUUACUCAGAACCUAAUAAAAUAUAAAUACAUACAUUAUUUAACUAAAAACUAUAUAUUUCAAGAGUCACCUCUCACAUUCAUGUUUACAUACAAUAUAGGUCAUGGCAAAAUAAAUUAAUCAGUCCAUCAAUCAAUCAUGUAACAAAUUACUAUUCAAUUUCAUUUAAAAGAUGAACUAUACCCAAGAGUUUUACCAUGAAAUUCAAUUUCAUGUUUAUAUAACCUAAAACAACUUGAGAGACUGAUUGUGCAUCAUGAACUAGAAAGCAGCAGGAAGGAAUUGGAUGUAGUUUAAUUCUAAUAACUAAGCUUAGACUAAGUAGUAGUUAGCAGUUUUAGUCUGGAGGCCCCAGGUUUAAAUCUUGGUCAAAAGACCAGCUGUGCUGACAGGUUUCUUUUAGUUUUCCUAAGUUUCUAUAGGAAAAUGCUGGAAUAGGACAUGACUGCUUCCUUCCACAUCCUUUCUAAUUCAUCAUACAUGCUAUCAUGCUGUCAUUCACUGCUGCCUAAAUCAAGCAUUUGAAAAAUGUCACUAGAAACUAAUCAAUUAGUCAUUUGUUUGGAAUGAGGAAAAACACAAAAUGUCUCACUCCUGCCAGUGUUUUGGUUUAUAUUAAAAUCAGGUAGGCCCAUUGCUCAAACAUGAAGCAGCAGUGAAACAUUGCCACAACAUUUGAUGUCACUUUAAUUCCAGUAUAUUAAUGACUGAGUGAGAGAUGAAACCCACACAUGGACUGACAUGCCCCUGGAGCAGUGACAGAUGAGCAUGGAGCAUCAGUGGAUUAGUGAUUACCAGUGGAAAACUGGUCUUCAUACAGAAUAAUACAUUUGAGUGUCGUUUAGUGAAUUCAAUAAUAGAGAUAAUACAUAUUACAUGUCCAUCUUCACACAACAAAAAGCUGUAUACUUCACAACUUCACUCAUUUCACUUCACACUUCUUAUUUGUUUAUAGUUUACUUAAUGAUGCUAAAUUCAGUAGCUCAAAAUAACAUCAAAUGAGAGAAUGACAGUAAAUAAUGAAUUGGCAAGGAUGUGAAAGGAAGCUGUCAUGAGCUAAUUUAAGGUGCAUUCCUGGAAUUUGACUGGAGAGACAUUCGGUGUUCACACUAUUGUGAUUUGUGCUAUGACAUGUUCUACAUCCUUGACUUGGAGAUAUGAAGGAUCUAUAAAAUGUAAAUAAGUAAAUAAAUAAAUAAAUUCAGUUUUAUUCUA